GGCUGUGUUUGUCAUUUCCAAGUAGCUAGAAACCUAACUUAGCAACAGGGGUCUCUGAUUAAUACCAAACAGGCAAGGCUUUAUUUGAUUAAAUAAAGCUAAUUUGUUGGAUAGGUGGAAAUCUCUCAAAUAUAGGCUGGAGACAGGAGGUGAGCUUGGCGGAGAGACAAAUGGAAAUAGUCUUUCGUGACUUUACGAUAGAGCAUUUCAGCUCUCCUACAUUCAGGCAGUAAAACGUACCUUCAGAAAACCCUAGAGGGAAAGCACUAGUGCCUUCCUAAGGGGGAAGAGUGAAGUUAAUGGUCCAAACUACCACCCUCCUGCAUGCCUGAAAAGGUCAAAUUGUGGCUUCAUCUAAGGCUGGGCAGGCUUCCAAUCAGGCUGCUGAAAGGAUGAAAUUCUGCUUUUUCUAGAAGAAAGAGGACGAAGAAAGGAAUAGCGUCAGUGGGGAAUUUCAUUCCUGGCAGGCCACGAAGUGUUAAAUCCCCUCUUGGUUCCUCCGCCUCAUAUUUGUUUCCUGCAUCUUGUUGAUGGAGCCAGAAGGAGCAGAAGCAGAAACAGCAGGCAGUUACCAGCUGGUGCUGAGCAGCCUCCAGAACAAUGAAGAACCCCUGAGCAUGGCUCUCUCUGGCUUCCAGAACUUUGUGUGUGCAGUUACCCUCUGCCUAAAGCACUCCUGACCCAUCUCUUCACUGCCUUCUCCAGUUCCCAGUUGAAGUGUCACCUCCUUUGGACUCUUCCGUUCGCCUUCCUGAAGCAACUUUCCUUAAGAAGAAAUGCCAGGCAUGCUUGGAUCUAGAUAAAUAAAGCCCACAGCAUUGGGUUUGUGG
RNAcentral lists this long non-coding RNA (830 nucleotides) under Sus scrofa (pig). RNAcentral's name for it is "lncRNA (ENSSSCG00055015053.1)". The record is from RNAcentral. Lineage: Eukaryota; Metazoa; Chordata; Mammalia; Artiodactyla; Suidae.